Molecule: ribosomal RNA, 1675 nt
Filed under: Salmonella enterica subsp. enterica serovar Paratyphi A
Lineage: Bacteria; Pseudomonadati; Pseudomonadota; Gammaproteobacteria; Enterobacterales; Enterobacteriaceae
Description: bacterial LSU rRNA
Rfam family: Bacterial large subunit ribosomal RNA (bases 1-1499)
Source: RNAcentral
ACGGAGAAGGCUAUGUUGGCCGGGCGACGGUUGUCCCGGUUUAAGCGUGUAGGUGUGUGUUCCAGGUAAAUCCGGUUCACUUUAACACUGAGGCGUGACGACGAGGCACUACGGUGCUGAAGCAACAAAUGCCCUGCUUCCAGGAAAAGCCUCUAAGCAUCAGGUAACAUCAAAUCGUACCCCAAACCGACACAGGUGGUCAGGUAGAGAAUACCAAGGCGCUUGAGAGAACUCGGGUGAAGGAACUAGGCAAAAUGGUGCCGUAACUUCGGGAGAAGGCACGCUGACACGUAGGUGAAGUGAUUUACUCAUGGAGCUGAAGUCAGUCGAAGAUACCAGCUGGCUGCAACUGUUUAUUAAAAACACAGCACUGUGCAAACACGAAAGUGGACGUAUACGGUGUGACGCCUGCCCGGUGCCGGAAGGUUAAUUGAUGGGGUCAGCGCAAGCGAAGCUCCUGAUCGAAGCCCCGGUAAACGGCGGCCGUAACUAUAACGGUCCUAAGGUAGCGAAAUUCCUUGUCGGGUAAGUUCCGACCUGCACGAAUGGCGUAAUGAUGGCCAGGCUGUCUCCACCCGAGACUCAGUGAAAUUGAACUCGCUGUGAAGAUGCAGUGUACCCGCGGCAAGACGGAAAGACCCCGUGAACCUUUACUAUAGCUUGACACUGAACAUUGAGCCUUGAUGUGUAGGAUAGGUGGGAGGCUUUGAAGUGUGGACGCCAGUCUGCAUGGAGCCGACCUUGAAAUACCACCCUUUAAUGUUUGAUGUUCUAACGUGGACCCGUUACCCGGGUUGCGGACAGUGUCUGGNNNNNNNNNNNNNNNNNNNNGGGUAGUUUGACUGGGGCGGUCUCCUCCUAAAGAGUAACGGAGGAGCACGAAGGUUGGCUAAUCCUGGUCGGACAUCAGGAGGUUAGUGCAAUGGCAUAAGCCAGCUUGACUGCGAGCGUGACGGCGCGAGCAGGUGCGAAAGCAGGUCAUAGUGAUCCGGUGGUUCUGAAUGGAAGGGCCAUCGCUCAACGGAUAAAAGGUACUCCGGGGAUAACAGGCUGAUACCGCCCAAGAGUUCAUAUCGACGGCGGUGUUUGGCACCUCGAUGUCGGCUCAUCACAUCCUGGGGCUGAAGUAGGUCCCAAGGGUAUGGCUGUUCGCCAUUUAAAGUGGUACGCGAGCUGGGUUUAGAACGUCGUGAGACAGUUCGGUCCCUAUCUGCCGUGGGCGCUGGAGAACUGAGGGGGGCUGCUCCUAGUACGAGAGGACCGGAGUGGACGCAUCACUGGUGUUCGGGUUGUCAUGCCAAUGGCACUGCCCGGUAGCUAAAUGCGGAAGAGAUAAGUGCUGAAAGCAUCUAAGCACGAAACUUGCCCCGAGAUGAGUUCUCCCUGAGACUUUAGGUCUCCUGAAGGAACGUUGAAGACGACGACGUUGAUAGGCCGGGUGUGUAAGCGCAGCGAUGCGUUGAGCUAACCGGUACUAAUGAACCGUGAGGCUUAACCUUACAACGCCGAAGAUGUUUUGGCGGAUGAGAGACGAUUUUCAGCACUGAUUCNNNNNNNNNNNNNNNNNNNNGCGGAUGAGAGACGAUUUUCAGCACUGAUUCAGAUUACAUCAGAACGUAAAAACGGUCUGAUAACAGAAUUUGCCUGGCGGCAGUAGCGCGGUGGUCCCACCUGA